UACAGAGGUCUCAAGCGUUGUUCGGAUUCAUUGGGCGUAAAGCGCGCGUAGGCGGGUUGGUAAGUCCGCUGUGAAAGCCCGGAGCUUAACUCCGGAGGGUCGGUGGAUACUGCCAGUCUUGAAGGUGCUAGGGGGAGAUGGAAUUACCGGUGUAGCGGUGAAAUGCGUAGAUAUCGGUAGGAACACCAGUGGCGAAGGCGGUCUCCUGGGGCAUUCUUGACGCUGAGGCGCGAAAGCUGGGGGAGCAAACGGG
Molecule: ribosomal RNA, 253 nt
Filed under: uncultured bacterium
Lineage: Bacteria
Description: partial 16S ribosomal RNA
Rfam family: Bacterial small subunit ribosomal RNA
Source: RNAcentral